GAAAUGCGAUAAGUAAUGUGAAUUGCAGAAUUCAGUGAAUCAUCGAAUCUUUGAACGCACAUUGCGCCCGCCAGCAUUCUGGCGGGCAUGCCUGUUCGAGCGUCAUUUCAACCCUCGAGCCCGACUCUUUUGAGGACGGCUCGGCGUUGGGGGACGGCAGGUUUAA
This 166-nucleotide unclassified non-coding RNA is filed under the name uncultured Glomerellales. Its description in RNAcentral is "sequence contains ITS1". The stretch from base 1 to 105 matches the Rfam family "5.8S ribosomal RNA", at positions 50 to 154 of the family's 154-position model. From Rfam's summary of the family: 5.8S ribosomal RNA (5.8S rRNA) is a component of the large subunit of the eukaryotic ribosome. It is transcribed by RNA polymerase I as part of the 45S precursor that also contains 18S and 28S rRNA. Lineage: Eukaryota; Fungi; Ascomycota; Sordariomycetes; Glomerellales. The record is from RNAcentral.